Molecule: ribosomal RNA, 492 nt
Filed under: uncultured bacterium
Lineage: Bacteria
Description: partial 16S ribosomal RNA
Rfam family: Bacterial small subunit ribosomal RNA
Source: RNAcentral
AGUGAACGCUGGCGGUAGGCCUAACACAUGCAAGUCGAACGGCAGCACAGUAAGAGCUUGCUCUUACGGGUGGCGAGUGGCGGACGGGUGAGGAAUACAUCGGAAUCUACUUUUUCGUGGGGGAUAACGUAGGGAAACUUACGCUAAUACCGCAUACGACCUACGGGUGAAAGCAGGGGAUCUUCGGACCUUUCGCGAUUGAAUGAGCCGAUGUCGGAUUAGCUAGUUGGCGGGGUAAAGGCCCACCAAGGCGACGAUCCGUAGCUGGUCUGAGAGGAUGAUCGGCCACACUGGAACUGAGACACGGUCCAGACUCCUACGGGAGGCAGCAGUGGGGAAUAUUGGACAAUGGGCGAAAGCCUGAUCCAGCCAUACUGCGUGGGUGAAGAAGGCCUUCGGGUUGUAAAGCCCUUUUGUUGGGAAAGAAAAGCAGCAGGUUAAUACCCCGCUGUUCUGACGGUACCCAAAGAAUAAGCACCGGCUAACUUCGUG